Molecule: non-coding RNA, 45 nt
Organism: Taeniopygia guttata (zebra finch)
Lineage: Eukaryota; Metazoa; Chordata; Aves; Passeriformes; Estrildidae
Source: Rfam
ACAAAGGCUCUUUUCAGAGCCACCCACAUUCCUCAUAAAGGGUUG